UACGGAGGGUGCAAGCGUUAUUCGGAAUUAUUGGGCGUAAAGGGCACGCAGGCGGGACUGCCAGUCAGAUGUGAAAGCCCGGGGCUUAACCCCGGAAGAGCAUUUGAUACUGCAGUUCUUGAGUAUGGUAGAGGGUAGUGGAAUUCCUGGUGUAGAGGUGAAAUUCGUAGAUAUCAGGAGGAACACCGGUGGCGAAGGCGACUACCUGGACCAAUACUGACGCUGAGGUGCGAAGGCGUGGGGAGCAAACAGG
RNAcentral lists this ribosomal RNA (253 nucleotides) under uncultured bacterium. RNAcentral's name for it is "partial 16S ribosomal RNA". It matches the Rfam family "Bacterial small subunit ribosomal RNA", at positions 524 to 776 of the family's 1533-position model. The record is from RNAcentral.